RNAcentral lists this small nuclear RNA (138 nucleotides) under Gigantopelta aegis. Its description in RNAcentral is "U4 spliceosomal RNA". It matches the Rfam family "U4 spliceosomal RNA". Rfam says of the family: U4 small nuclear RNA (U4 snRNA) is a component of the major U2-dependent spliceosome. Lineage: Eukaryota; Metazoa; Mollusca; Gastropoda; Neomphalida; Peltospiridae. The record is from RNAcentral.
AGCUUUGCGCAGUGGCAAUACCAUAGCCAGUGAGGUGUAUCCGAGGCGUGGUUAUUGCUAGUUGAAAACUAUUCCCAAUACCCCGUGCAGACGCCUUAACUGGGCGGCUAGCACAAUUUUUAAUUGCCUCUACGGGGG